Molecule: ribosomal RNA, 408 nt
Filed under: Triticum aestivum (bread wheat)
Lineage: Eukaryota; Viridiplantae; Streptophyta; Magnoliopsida; Poales; Poaceae
Description: partial small subunit ribosomal RNA
Source: RNAcentral
AUGUCAGAGGCUACAAUGUCAUCCAUCGCGCUGCACGACAUCACAGCUGCAACAUUCAAAGUUAUGCUUCGGUUCAUUUACACCGAUGAAUUGCCCGGAGAAGACGAUCCCACAGACUCAUCCGUUGAGAUGUUCCAGAACCAGCUCGCUGCUGCUGAUCGGUAUGCACUGGACCGGCUGAAGAUUAUUUGUGCCCAGAAGUUAUGGGAGAAAGUGUCCGUAGAUACAGUUGCAACUAUCUUAGCUUGUGCUGAAACCUACAACUGUCAGGAGUUGAAGAACAAGUGCAUUGACUUCUUUGUGGCGGAUGAAAAUUUCAAGGAGGCCAUGUUCACGGAUGGUUAUGCGCUACUGGUUCUGAAAUUCCCAUCGAUUACUGCUGAGCUCAAAAGGAGGGUUAGGGCAUAA